CAGGUACGUCACGUCGUUUGGGUUAUUCAUUCAUUCAUUCAUUCUUCAAUCUGAUAGAAAAUCAUUAAAUUUAUCAGAGUAUUUAUGUUUGUAUUUCGUAUACCUUGAACUUAUGGGACCGAGUCUCGAUGACCUCCUUUACUACUGUAGUGGCAAGUUUUCGCUAAAAUCGGUUUUGAUGUUGGCUGAUCAGAUNNNNGGUAAUCAUUCAUUCAUUUCAUGACUUGUUACAUAUUUAUAAAACUGAAUCACUCACCGUGGAUGAUGUGAAUAAAGAUGGUGCAAAAGAAACUUUGGGAAUGAAAGCAGUACAGAUGAAGAUGGAACAAAAUUGUGGUCUUAUGAUGAUAUACAGCUGAGAGGUACUACUAAUAAGAGGCAAUUCAAGUCGAAAAGUUGCAAUUAUGAUUCGGAAAGAUUGAGUUCUGAGGAUCAGGUUGUAGCUGG
This 447-nucleotide long non-coding RNA is filed under the name Trifolium pratense (red clover). RNAcentral describes it as "long non-coding RNA (TPRA_LNC005648)". The record is from RNAcentral. Lineage: Eukaryota; Viridiplantae; Streptophyta; Magnoliopsida; Fabales; Fabaceae.